This 497-nucleotide ribosomal RNA is filed under the name uncultured bacterium. RNAcentral describes it as "partial 16S ribosomal RNA". It matches the Rfam family "Bacterial small subunit ribosomal RNA", at positions 28 to 507 of the family's 1533-position model. The record is from RNAcentral.
GAUGAACGCUGGCGGCGUGCCUAAUACAUGCAAGUCGAGCGAACGGACGAGAAGCUUGCUUCUCUGAUGUUAGCGGCGGACGGGUGAGUAACACGUGGAUAACCUACCUAUAAGACUGGGAUAACUUCGGGAAACCGGAGCUAAUACCGGAUAAUAUUUUGAACCGCAUGGUUCAAAAGUGAAAGACGGUCUUGCUGUCACUUAUAGAUGGAUCCGCGCUGCAUUAGCUAGUUGGUAAGGUAACGGCUUACCAAGGCAACGAUGCAUAGCCGACCUGAGAGGGUGAUCGGCCACACUGGAACUGCGACACGUUCCAGACUCCUACGGGAGGCAGCAGUAGGGAAUCUUCCGCAAUGGGCGAAAGCCUGACGGAGCAACGCCGCGUGAGUGAUGAAGGUCUUCGGAUCGUAAAACUCUGUUAUUAGGGAAGAACAUAUGUGUAAGUAACUGUGCACAUCUUGACGGUACCUAAUCAGAAAGCCACGGCUAACUACGUG